GUAGAUGAUAAUGUGUCAUUAAACUACUAACUUGUAUUAUGAACUUAAGGCAACAUAACAAAGCCAUAGAUUUUGCCUUCCAAUCCACACAGAUUUUUAUUUCUUUAUCAAUACACCGGUAAAGAAAAGCAUACCUUGAUAGAGUUACAGAGAAUAAUGACACUUCACUCAUUUCAUGUAAACUUGUACUAAGUAAACAAUAUCACUAAUACCACUUAUACAGUAGUGCAAAUAUUACUCAAUAUUAAAUGGGAAACUCCAAUCAGAACAAGCUUAAUUUCACAAUUUUAUGGUUACGACCAAAAACCAAUUUGUCGCCAUUUAUUAUUAGACACACCUUAUCAAAUAAAAGUAGCCACCCUUUUAUAUUAUUCGACACACACGUGUAGAGUCACAUAUUAUAAAGUUGUUACCAUAAGAUAUAUCACUAGUGAUGGCCUGCACCAGGGCUUGGAGUAGAAUUUUGAAGAAUUCUUUCAUUAUUGGUAAAACGAGCAAAGAACAUUCCAGUGCUACUCAUGGGAUAACUAGUAGUAGUCUCAAGUGAAGGUAGGGUACCCUUCAAAGAGGGUACCAUUUGUGGCUCCAUUUUGAGAAUAUUUCGGGCAUCUAAGAAUGAGAAAUAGCAUGCCAAAAUAAGAACAGUGAUGAACAAAGCAGAGUUUAAGUGAGCCAUGUGGAGCACUAGACAAGAAUGUUAUGUAUUAAUAAUGUGUCUGUUUGUG
This 725-nucleotide long non-coding RNA is filed under the name Lupinus angustifolius (narrow-leaved blue lupine). RNAcentral describes it as "long non-coding RNA (LANG_LNC000870)". The record is from RNAcentral. Lineage: Eukaryota; Viridiplantae; Streptophyta; Magnoliopsida; Fabales; Fabaceae.